AACGAACGCUGGCGGCAUGCCUAACACAUGCAAGUCGAACGAGACCUUCGGGUCUAGUGGCGCACGGGUGCGUAACGCGUGGGAACCUGCCCUUAGGCUCGGAAUAACUCCCCGAAAGGGGUGCUAAUACCGGAUAAUGUCUUCGGACCAAAGAUUUAUCGCCUUUGGAUGGGCCCGCGUUGGAUUAGCUAGUUGGUAGGGUAAAAGCCUACCAAGGCGACGAUCCAUAGCUGGUCUGAGAGGAUGAGCAGCCACACUGGGACUGAGACACGGCCCAGACUCCUAGGGGAGGCAGCAGUGGUGAAUAUUGGACAAUGGGCGAAAGCCUGAUCCAGCAAUGCCGCGUGAGUCAUGAAGGCCUGAGGGUUGUAAAGCUCUUUUACCCGCGAUGAUAAUGACAGUACCGGGAGAAUAAGCUCCGGCUAACUCCGUG
This 433-nucleotide ribosomal RNA is filed under the name uncultured bacterium. RNAcentral describes it as "partial 16S ribosomal RNA". It matches the Rfam family "Bacterial small subunit ribosomal RNA", at positions 29 to 507 of the family's 1533-position model. The record is from RNAcentral.